CAUGAAGCUGGAAUUGCUAGUAAUGGCAGGUCAGCAUACUGCCGUGAAUACGUUCCCGGGCCUUGUACACACCGCCCGUCACACCAUGAGAGUUGGAAAUACCCGAAGCCUGUGAGCUAACUUAAAGAGGCAGCAGUCGAAGGUAGUGCCAAUGAUUGGGGUGAAGUCGUAACAAGGUAAC
RNAcentral lists this ribosomal RNA (181 nucleotides) under uncultured bacterium. Its description in RNAcentral is "partial 16S ribosomal RNA". It matches the Rfam family "Bacterial small subunit ribosomal RNA", at positions 1319 to 1500 of the family's 1533-position model. The record is from RNAcentral.